AAGUAAAAUAUUUGUACGUCGCUUUGGAUAAAAGCCUCUGCUAAAUGGCUUAUA
Molecule: non-coding RNA, 54 nt
Organism: Salmo salar (Atlantic salmon)
Lineage: Eukaryota; Metazoa; Chordata; Actinopteri; Salmoniformes; Salmonidae
Source: Rfam